GCCUGGGUGGCUCAGUGGUUGAGCGUCUGCCUUUGGCUCAGAGCGUGAUCCCAGAGUCCUGGGAUCGAGUCCCAUGUCGGGCU
Non-coding RNA from Canis lupus familiaris (dog), 83 nucleotides. The record is from Rfam. Lineage: Eukaryota; Metazoa; Chordata; Mammalia; Carnivora; Canidae.